GAUGAACGCUGACAGAAUGCUUAACACAUGCAAGUCGAUUCGAUUUACCUUCGGGUAUUGAGGAUGGCGGACGGGUGAGUAACGCGUAAGGAACUUGCCUCUUGGUCUGGGACAACUGUUGGAAACGACAGCUAAUACCGGAUAUUAUGAGAUUCUCGCAUGGGAAACUUAUGAAAGCUAUAUGCGCCAAGAGAGAGCCUUGCGUUCCAUUAGCUAGUUGGUGGGGUAACGGCCCACCAAGGCGACGAUGGAUAGCCGGCCUGAGAGGGUGAACGGCCACAAGGGGACUGAGACACGGCCCUUACUCCUACGGGAGGCAGCAGUGGGGAAUAUUGGACAAUGGGCCACAAGCCUGAUCCAGCAAUUCUGUGUGCACGAUGAAGGUCUUCGGAUUGUAAAGUGCUUUCAGUUGGGAAGAAGAAAGUGACGGUACCAACAGAAGAAGCGACGGCUAAAUACGUGCCAGCAGCCGCGGUAAUACGUAUGUCGCAAGCGUUAUCCGGAUUUAUUGNGCGUAAAGCGCGUCUAGGCGGAAAAAUAAGUCUGAUGUUAAAAUGCGGGGCUCAACUCCGUAUUGCGUUGGAAACUGUUUUUCUAGAGUACUGGAGAGGUGGGCGGAACUACAAGUGUAGAGGUGAAAUUCGUAGAUAUUUGUAGGAAUGCCGAUGGAGAAGUCAGCUCACUGGACAGAUACUGACGCUAAAGCGCGAAANCGUGGGGAG
This 722-nucleotide ribosomal RNA is filed under the name uncultured prokaryote. RNAcentral's name for it is "bacterial SSU rRNA". It matches the Rfam family "Bacterial small subunit ribosomal RNA", at positions 28 to 768 of the family's 1533-position model. The record is from RNAcentral.